Molecule: ribosomal RNA, 305 nt
Filed under: uncultured bacterium
Lineage: Bacteria
Description: bacterial SSU rRNA
Rfam family: Bacterial small subunit ribosomal RNA
Source: RNAcentral
CGUCCUACGGGAGGCAGCAGUCGGGAAUAUUGCGCAAUGGAGGAAACUCUGACGCAGUGACGCCGCGUAUAGGAAGAAGGUCUUCGGAUUGUAAACUAUUGUCGUUAGGGAAGAGAAAGGACAGUACCUAAGGAGGAAGCUCCGGCUAACUACGUGCCAGCAGCCGCGGUAAUACGUAGGGAGCGAGCGUUAUCCGGAUUUACUGGGUGUAAAGGGAGCGUAGACGGUUCUGCAAGUCUGAAGUGAAAGCCCGUGGCUUAACCGCGGAACGGCUUUGGAAACUGUGGAACUGGAGUGCUGGAGAG